CCAUAUGAUGAGAAAAACGUGAUUUAGCUCUAGAUCGUGAGCUGCUCGCAGCCAUGACAGUUUCGCAUGUAUUACCUGAUGA
Molecule: small nucleolar RNA, 82 nt
Filed under: Talaromyces islandicus
Lineage: Eukaryota; Fungi; Ascomycota; Eurotiomycetes; Eurotiales; Trichocomaceae
Description: Penicillium islandicum A. fimigatus snoRNA Afu_199
Rfam family: A. fimigatus snoRNA Afu_199
Source: Rfam by way of RNAcentral